Molecule: transfer RNA, 76 nt
Filed under: Pseudonocardiaceae bacterium
Lineage: Bacteria; Bacillati; Actinomycetota; Actinomycetes; Pseudonocardiales; Pseudonocardiaceae
Also listed under: 1 other name
Description: tRNA-Arg
Rfam family: tRNA
About the family: Transfer RNA (tRNA) molecules are approximately 80 nucleotides in length.
Source: RNAcentral
GCCCUCGUAGCUCAGGGGAUAGAGCACCGCUCUCCUAAAGCGGGUGUCGCAGGUUCGAAUCCUGCCGAGGGCGCCA